This 326-nucleotide ribosomal RNA is filed under the name uncultured eukaryote. RNAcentral describes it as "partial 18S ribosomal RNA". It matches the Rfam family "Eukaryotic small subunit ribosomal RNA", at positions 1470 to 1796 of the family's 1831-position model. The record is from RNAcentral.
CCCUUAGAUGUUCUGGGCUGCACGCGCGCUACACUGAUGCACUCAACGAGCUUACGACCUUGCCCGAUAGGGUUGGGUAAUCUUUUUAAAAUGCAUCGUGAUGGGGAUAGAUUAUUGCAAUUAUUAAUCUUCAACGAGGAAUUCCUAGUAAGCGCGAGUCAUCAGCUCGUGCUGAUUACGUCCCUGCCCUUUGUACACACCGCCCGUCGCUCCUACCGAUUGAGUGCUCAGGUGAAUAAUUCGGACUGCAGCAAUGUUUGGAUCCCGAACGUUGCAGCGGAAAGUUUAGUGAACCUUAUCACUUAGAGGAAGGAGAAGUCGUAACA